CCUACGGGAGGCAGCAGUGAGGAAUAUUGGUCAAUGGGCGAAAGCCUGAACCAGCGAAGUCGCGUGAGGGAUGAAGGACCUAUGGAUUGUAAGCUUCUUUUAUAUGGGAGUAAAUUGUGGCACGUGUGGUAUUUUGUAUGUACCAUAUGAAUCAGGAUCGGCUAACUCCGUGCCAGCAGCCGCGGUAAUACGGAGGUUGCGAGCGUUGUCCGGACGUAGUGGGCGUAAAGAGUUCGUAGACGGCAUGUAAAGUCAGGUGUUAAAGGCGCAGGCUCAACCUGUGUAUUGCACUUGAGACUGGGAAGCUGGAAUGCGGGAGAGGUAAAGGGAAUUCCUGGUGUAGCGGUGAAAUGCGUAGAUAUCAGGAGGAACACCGGUGGCGAAGGCGGUUUACUGGGCCGUAACUGACGCUGAGGAACGAAAGCGAGGGGAGCAAACGGGAUUAGAUACCCGAGUAGUC
Molecule: ribosomal RNA, 460 nt
Filed under: uncultured bacterium
Lineage: Bacteria
Description: partial 16S ribosomal RNA
Rfam family: Bacterial small subunit ribosomal RNA
Source: RNAcentral